AAUCAUAUUUGGCAGAUAGAAAAGGAGUAUAUGUGGCACCUUAGAGACUAACCAAUUUGAGCAUAAGCUUUCGUGAGCUGUAGCUCAC
Molecule: long non-coding RNA, 88 nt
Organism: Chelonia mydas (Green sea turtle)
Lineage: Eukaryota; Metazoa; Chordata; Testudines; Cheloniidae
Exons: 3
Source: RefSeq, a predicted model, not a curated record